UAGGGAAUCUUCCGCAAUGGACGCAAGUCUGACGGAGCAACGCCGCGUGAGUGAAGAAGGAUUUCGGUUCGUAAAACUCUGUUGUUAGAGAAGAACAGCGCAUAGAGUAACUGUUAUGCGUGUGACGGUAUCUAACCAGAAAGCCACGGCUAACUACGUGCCAGCAGCCGCGGUAAUACGUAGGUGGCAAGCGUUGUCCGGAUUUAUUGGGCGUAAAGCGAGCGCAGGCGGUCAAUUAAGUCUGAUGUGAAAGCCCCCGGCUCAACCGGGGAGGGUCAUUGGAAACUGGUUGACUUGGAUGCAGAAGAGGAGAGUGGAAUUCCAUGUGUAACGGUGAAAUGCGUAGAUAUAUGGAGGAACACCAGUGGCGAAGGCGACUCUCUGGUCUGUAACUGACGCUGAGGCUCGAAAGCGUGGGUAGCAAACAGG
Molecule: ribosomal RNA, 429 nt
Filed under: Bacteroidota bacterium
Lineage: Bacteria; Pseudomonadati; Bacteroidota
Description: Bacteroidetes bacterium partial 16S ribosomal RNA
Rfam family: Bacterial small subunit ribosomal RNA
Source: RNAcentral